Long non-coding RNA from Chelonus insularis, 595 nucleotides. RefSeq lists it as uncharacterized. The record is from RefSeq and is a predicted model, not a curated record. Lineage: Eukaryota; Metazoa; Arthropoda; Insecta; Hymenoptera; Braconidae. The transcript is spliced from 2 exons.
AUGGCGGAUCGACUCUAGGCGGAAGCAUGUCAGUAAUGUGAAAUUCUUUUCCGUGACACGCAUAAAUUUUACUAUUAAUAACGUUUAAAGACUUAAAAUUUUUGUGAAAAUAAAUUAAGACGUAUUUCUUAAAGCUAUUAUAAAUAAUAUAUAUUAAUUGUAACGUGUGCAAACGCAUUUAUUAUCAUCAACUUAUACCCAUAUAGAUAUUUCUACGUAUAUUCAUACAAGUUAUGAUAAUAAUCGCAAAACUUAAUUAAUAUCUUUCUUAUUGAUCAUACAAUAAAAACUAUUAACCAAGUUACAUACUUGAUAAUAUGUAAAAACGUAUUAACUUUGUGACAAAUAGUGUACAGUGGAAUCAAAAUGUGUUUUAGUUCACAUGAUAGUACAGUCGUUUAGAUAGUUAAUGUAUCACUCAUUAUAUAUGAUAUUCAUGUAUGAGUAAAAACUACGAAUAUUAAUUACUUAAUUACCGUUCUAUUUCCUACUAAUUGAUUAUCUUCAGAUCACAAUAGUAUGAGGAAACUUGUUGACAUUUUGGAGAGUGAAAAAUAAUUAAAAAGAAGAUUGAUGAAGAAAAAGAUAGUUGGUA